Molecule: small nuclear RNA, 188 nt
Organism: Jaculus jaculus (lesser Egyptian jerboa)
Lineage: Eukaryota; Metazoa; Chordata; Mammalia; Rodentia; Dipodidae
Gene: U2
Rfam family: U2 spliceosomal RNA
About the family: U2 is a small nuclear RNA (snRNA) component of the spliceosome (involved in pre-mRNA splicing). Complementary binding between U2 snRNA (in an area lying towards the 5' end but 3' to hairpin I) and the branchpoint sequence (BPS) of the intron results the bulging out of an unpaired adenosine, on the BPS, which initiates a nucleophilic attack at the intronic 5' splice site, thus starting the first of two transesterification reactions that mediate splicing.
Source: Ensembl
AUUGCUUGGCCUUUUGGCUAAUAUCAAGUGUAGUAUCUGUUCUUAUCAGUUUAAUAUCUGAUACAUUCUCUAUCCAAGGACAAAAUAUUAAAUGAAUUUUUAGAGCUAGAAGUUGGAAUAGGCACUUGCUCCGUCUAUUCCACACACCUACCUGGUAUUGCAGUACCUCCAGGAACGGUAUAUACAGA